This is a long non-coding RNA of Sarcophilus harrisii (Tasmanian devil), 5486 nucleotides long. The record is from Ensembl. Lineage: Eukaryota; Metazoa; Chordata; Mammalia; Dasyuromorphia; Dasyuridae.
AAGCCCGGAGGCUGAGUGUUCUUCUAACAGCUAUCUCAUAGCGGUUGGUUAGUUGGAGAGUUAUCUAUCCACUGGGAGGCUAAUUGAUUUGCCUACAUCAUACAACAUUUAUGUGUCAGACACACCAAAGUCUUAAAGAAAAGCCCCUCACCACGGGACAUUACUUCUGGCAAGGCUACCUCCAAUGAUGGAUCUCCUAGAAUUGUGAGGAAGCUCUAAGUUCAGGUGGACAAAGACAGCUGGGUUGCUUUAUGAUGUCAGAUUCUCCUUUGAUGCUCUGAAGAAUGUGGACUGAAGAAUUAAAGGUUCUGUCCUAUUCUAGGUGUUUGAAGAUGCCAGUCUAGUUUUCUCUUCAUCCCAGGACCCAGUCUUCUCAUAAGAAAGAGUGUAUUAUUUUUCUGAACAGACUUUAUUUUACUAUUUUCUUAUUAAUUUUUAUUUUGGAUCACGGUCCUUAGACCUCCCCUCACCAGAAUCAUGAGCAAAAUUGCCCUGACUGAGAAUGAGCUUUCUAGCUUUUGAAAUAUGUUUGCUGUUCUUCUAGACAUUCUACUGGUAAGAUAUACUGUGGAAAUUCUUCUGUAGUGGAAUGGGGAAAAAUCAAAAGAUAUUUUCCAAAGAAGCUCCUCGCCCAGGCCUUUGUUACAAGGCCAAGGUGGUAUGGUUACCAUGUCCACCACACCACGUUUCACCCCUGUUGGAACAAGACUCCUAUGUGAAGGCAGAGCAGGCAUCCCUCAAGCAUCAGGAGAGAACCAUCCAACCGGUGCCCCAUCCCCGCCCUCGGACCGAGCCAGUGCCCUCGCCACAUUUCAAACACCCCAUGAUAGCCGUCCGGCCACCCUGUCCUCCUCCCAGCACGGUCACAAUACCGCUGCCCCAUCUCCACCACCAAAGUACAGUGAAUAAGGCACCCGCUAGUCCCAAGCACCAAGUGGUCACCUCGGCCCUGCCUGUGAGCAGGCCUGACGUCCCCUCUGCCAAGCCUGCCGUGACUUUAGCAUUCAGCAAACAGUGCCCGCCGCUCCGCCCUAUACAUCAGCCUGUGAUUCCACUGGAUGCAAACCAACACACAGAAGCUGCUCCUAACCCUGACCACUUCCCCAAGAUUAUCCCAAGCUCUGUCCCCCUGGCUGAGGAUCCGAGUCAUCUCAAACAUCUGUCGGCGCUGCCAUCAUCUGCUGAGGUGCCACCACGAGAGGUCCACAGGACCAUGUUCAUAGCGGUUCCCCAAGCGGGCCCUAACCACCCCAUCAGGGUCACGAGUGUGCCCGUGAAUCCCGGCCCACAGCCUUUGCCCAAGCCCAGGCGUCGCAUCAGGGCCACAAACGCGCUCUUAGGGUUUUUAAAACUAGAACCUAUGCUUCAUUCUGCUAGCUCAAUAUCCCUUGGUCCAAACCACUGGUCCAGAGAGACAACUGCAAAACCCUCGGGUCUGGAUAAUUGGACCCAACCAAAAAGAUCUUCAUCUUCACAUCCCAACCUCCUUUGCCCUUGGAAGACAGUAUCACUGCUGUACUGCAAUGAGUCCCCCCAAAAAUCAAUGGGGGAGCCGUUAUCACAUCUGAAUCAGAAAACCAGGGCUACCACUGCACCUGCUCCUGUUCAGCUACAGCAGGCUGGGGACAUGGCUGGCCCUAUGGCCCAUGGAUUACUUCAAAUGGAAAAAAAGCCCUGGGAAACAAGUUCAGUGAGAGCCAGCCAGGAUCCAGGGCUGAGACAACUUCCAAUUGACUUACAUUUCCAGGGCAAAACUCUGCAUGUCCCUAACCACCAGGUGGUACCUCCUCCCCAUCCAGUGGGUCCUUUACAACCUAUGGCCCAGGUCCCACUUCAAAUGGAACAAGAUCAUAGGAAGACGAUGCCAUUGAGACCGGAUAACCAGGUUCCCAAUCCCACAGGACAGGAUCACUGGACCAUCCCUCCUUUCCUGGGCAUGGAUGGCCAGAAAACAAUUCUUUUUCUCCCUCAGUACCAGGCCACACCACCUCCCAGCCCUAUCCAUCAGUCGGAGGACAUCCCAGGCUCCAUUGCUUAUACCUUGAAAACGCUGCCACCCAGAAUGCAGCCACAGGCCACAACUAUAACAGGUGCUAGUCAGAAUCUCAGAACAGUACCUUCAAUGGUGUCUUACAAGCACGACAUCAAUCAGCUGGGCGCCGUACCCCAAUUCACAACUUCCCUCAACCCUGACUACCAGGUUGGGAAAGUCAUAAAUCCCAAUGCCCAGCUGAUAUACCAACCAAAUGUAGAAGUAUGGGGAACAAUGACAAAGGGAAUGUAUCACCAGGAUAUGAGUCCCUUUGUGUGGGGUUACGGGGCAAUCCCUCAACCCCAGAACACAAAUAAGACGAUUCCACCUCACUUGGACCACUGGGGCACACCUCUCCAACCUGAAUUUCAGACUAAGACUAUACCUGACCCAAAUGUUCGGUUUACACUUCAAUCAGAACCCAAGCAUCACGGAAGAAGGCAACUAGGAGUAGACCACCAGCCUGCCUUUCUAGCAUGCCGAAAUCAAGGACCAAUUAUGUAUCCCCCAGGUGUAGGUGGCUGGGAAAAAAUUCCACCUGGCCCUAACUAUCAGGAGACGGUGGUCAGCGCUCAUCCUGGGCCUAAGCAACAGCCAGCUAUGGCUAUACCAGAUCCUGCUGCACAAAUCUUGUUUCAGCCUGAACAAGGGCACAGGGGACCAACAAUGCCAAAAAUAAAGAUCCAGACCCCAGAUCUUAAUUUAGUAUCUUCACUGGGCUUAGAUACCCAAAACCCAAAUCUUUGUGUCUCUGAACACCAAGCCAGGCUUGUAGUCAAUAAUCCUCACCAGCCUAAGGAGAUGAUGAAGGAUGCCAAGGUCCAGGUCUCCUUUCAAGAAUUCAAACGAUGUGAAAUACCACCAGUGGGAACCCACCAGCAGACCCCAAAUCCCCCUGAUCACGUCCAUGGGACAACAGUUCCUCUGAACAAUGAUGAGAAGGUAGCGUGUUUUCCUGCCUCUGACCAUUGCAUCCUAUCACCACCUGGCCCUGCCUAUCAGGCUGAGGCUGUUCCAGAGCCUAAUGACCAGGAUGCAUGGCAACAAAAGCUAGAACACAAUGAAACAAUACAGUCAGCAAUGGAGCAGGAAGCCAAGAAUUCCACUGGCAAAGACCAUGGAGCAACACUUGCUCCCUUGAACAAAGAUCAACAAGAAACUAACUGUGAGCUUGAUCACCAGGACACAUCUCGUCUUAAAUCAGACUGUCAAACUGAGGAUACACAAGACCCUAGAGACCAGGAUUCAAUUCAACCAGAACAACACUGGCAAAAAGAACAACCUGGAACAGAUCAGCAGAUCACAAAUCCUCCUGCCCAAGAUUCCACAGAAAAAACUCUGAUUAGGAGCACAGAGAACCAGGAAACAAUUCUCUCAGGCACUGGCCACCCUAGUCCUGACUUUAGGGCUAUAGAUUCAGCAAGCCCUGGCACUAGGGAAUCAGGUAAAACAGAACAGGAAAACAAGGAAAGACCACCACUUGGAAGGGAAUGCAAAGCCACAACUCUUCUAACCCCCGAUUUGGAGGCAACGGUACCUCCCCUGGGCUCUGACGCCCAGGAUAAAACUCUGCUUGACCCUGAAAACCAUGGCUCCCUUGCACCCAGAGCUGAGCCGGAUGUGGAUGCAUCAGGGCCUGUCGCAUCAGAACAAGUUCUCCGGGAAACACUGAAAACAGAUCCACAGGCCACAGGUACAACCAUCUGUGAUCACCAGAUAACACCACCUAUAGUGGGAGCCGACUGUCAGGCCCCCUGUCCUCCCACCACUGGAGCUCACAACCCAAUUCAGAAAGAACUGGAAGAGUGGGAAAGGUCAGAAGAAAUCAGUUCCCAGGAUUCUAUCCUUUUAGAAGUGGGUGUCAUGCAUAUACCUAAAUUAGACUUAGAUCUCCAAGACACAACUCCAUGUCCCCCCGUCUAUGGUCCUGAUGAUCAGGCUACAGAUAGAAUAGAUCCCAUUGCCCCAACAUGGGUUCAGACAGAACAGAAGUCCAGAGAAGUAUCAUCAAUAGCAAUAGAUCAGCAGGCCACGACAGUAACAGGCCAGACUCAGGAGGCAGUCACAUGCCCCCCAGACUUGGAAUCCCAGGACACAGCUCAAUGUGGUCCUAAAUGCCAGAGCCCACUUCCGUGCAGCCUUGACAAGCGGGAGAAGAAUAUAGCCUCUCCCAAUGACUUGUUCUCACUUCAGCCCCCAACCAAUCAAUGCACAGUAGUGUCCCAGGAAACAGACCAGCAGACCACAAUUCUAAUGGACUUGGGAUUCAGGACAUCACCUCCGUUGCUGAUACACCCCCAGGACCCAAUUCUGCUUGAUUCUACCUACCAGACCACACCUUCCUCUGGCCCUGCAGAAGCUUUCUCAGAUCCUGAUCUUCAGAACAUACCUCCACCAGAUCCUGAGUGCUUAGCACAAUGGUCCCCGAGGCAAGAGCGCCAAGUCUCACCCCUAUCCAGUGUUGACCACCAAGUCACCCUUCUGCCCAAUUCAACAAACCAGGCUGAGGCUAUAUUUGAGUCUGUCAAACCCCAGGUCACAAUGUCAACACAGUUAUGUAAUCAGGAUAAAGCUUUAAUAAGCUUCAUUAAACCCAAGACUGUGCUGCCCUCAGGUCCCGGGCUGCUGACUAAACGUCUAAGGGGUCGUGGCCCUCAGGUUGAAAAAUUUGACCCCCAAGUUCAGAUUCACUCAAGACCACAAUACCAGACUCAACCAGUGCUAAACAAAAAGUCUUCUUGUUUAUAUUAUAUCAAGCCAUACACUGUGGAGGGAGGAAUCAUCCCCAACAGAAUAGUUCAGCUCAUCAUCGAUUCUAUCCCUCAGGAAAAAAUAAAAAAUGAUGUCUAUAAACAAAUUCUCCUGCGAAAGAGGAGGAAAUUUUCUCCUCAUGGUUCUAAUGGAUACAGUUCAUCUUACUAUCCUAUCUGUUUGCUUUGUGCCUCCUGGAUUCCAAAUGGCUGUCCCCAUGAGGGAAUGAAAUACCCAUUUGAAGCACAGUUACUGGCCAUACCUACGCCUAUGCCUGGUUUUGAAGAACUCGGGGUGAGAUUUGUGCUCCAAGUGCCCCAGACAACAGAAAGCUCCCCUCUCGAGUUUCCUUAUUCCCGGCAUGGUCUGCAAAGGCACCCUCAUGGCCCACAAAUCUUUUCAACAUCAUCCUACUCUGAUCCUGGGCUCUCUAGAUCUUCCAGACCAAAGUGGCUACACUUCAUUCUUGACAAGGCUCAUCAGCAAGAGGGGAGAAACCAAGAAGCAGAAUUCAUAGGAGAAAUGCCCUUGAAGAGGCACAGCCUCAGAGAAGAGGACACUGGGGAUGGGAGGACAUUUUUUAAAUCUCUGUUGGAAAGAUUUCAGUGGAGGCUGAGAGAUUAAAUUACUAUAUAUUCUAUUUGGAAAGAAUUUAUAUGUUUGAAAUAUGUCUUGAUUUCAUAUCUUGCACAUGUAAUUUUCU